This 253-nucleotide ribosomal RNA is filed under the name uncultured bacterium. Its description in RNAcentral is "partial 16S ribosomal RNA". It matches the Rfam family "Bacterial small subunit ribosomal RNA", at positions 524 to 776 of the family's 1533-position model. The record is from RNAcentral.
UACAGAGGCCCCAAGCGUUACCCGGAAUCACUGGGCGUAAAGGAUGUGUAGGUGGUUAUGUUAGUCUUAUGUUAAAGCACCUGGCUCAACCGGGGAAAGGCAUAGGAAACGGCAUAACUAGAGGAUGCGAGAGGUCUGUGGAACUCUAGGUGUAGGGGUGAAAUCCGUUGAUAUCUAGGGGAACACCAAAAGCGAAGGCAGCAGACUGGCGCACUCCUGACACUGAGACACGAAAGCGUGGGUAGCGAACGGG